UACUAGCCCUGAAAAUGGAUGGCGCUGAAGCGUCGUGCUUAUACUCGGCCGUCAGCGGCAUGUGCGGUCUGUUCCGUUUUUUUCAUUAAUUACGGGACGGCCAUGAAGCCCUGACGAGUAGGAGGGUCGCGGCGGUGAGCGCAGAAGGGCUGGCCGCGAGGCCGUCUGGAGCCGCCGUCGGUGCAGAUCUUGGUGGUAGUAGCAAAUACUCCAGCGAGGCCCUGGAGGACUGACGUGGAGAAGGGUUUCGUGUGAACAGCCGUUGCACACGAGUCAGUCGAUCCUAAGCCCUAGGCGAAAGCCGAUGUCGAUGCGGUGUAGGUUUAUUUAUAUAUAUGCACACACCCGUCGGGCGAAAGGGAAUCCGGUUCCUAUUCCGGAACCCGGCAGCGGAACCGUCAAAAAGUCGGGCCCUCGCAAGAGAGUUCGUCGGGGCAACCCAAAAGGACCCGGAGACGCCGUCGGGAGAUCCGGGAAGAGUUUUCUUUUCUGCAUAAGCGUUCGAGUUCCAUGGAAUCCUCUAGCAGGGAGAUAUGGUUUGGAACGCGAAGAGCACCGCAGUUGCAGCGGUGUCCGGAUCUUCCCCUCGGACCUUGAAAAUCCGGGAGAGGGCCACGUGGAGGCGUCGCGCCGGUUCGUACCCAUAUCCGCAGCAGGUCUCCAAGGUGAAGAGCCUCUAGUCGAUAGAAUAAUGUAGGUAA
Molecule: ribosomal RNA, 701 nt
Filed under: Timarcha balearica
Lineage: Eukaryota; Metazoa; Arthropoda; Insecta; Coleoptera; Chrysomelidae
Description: eukaryotic LSU rRNA
Rfam family: Eukaryotic large subunit ribosomal RNA
Source: RNAcentral